Molecule: ribosomal RNA, 492 nt
Filed under: uncultured bacterium
Lineage: Bacteria
Description: partial 16S ribosomal RNA
Rfam family: Bacterial small subunit ribosomal RNA
Source: RNAcentral
AGUGAACGCUGGCGGUAGGCCUGACACAUGCAAGUCGAACGGCAGCACAGUAAGAGCUUGCUCUUACGGGUGGCGAGUGGCGGACGGGUGAGGAAUACAUCGGAAUCUACUUUUUCGUGGGGGAUAACGUAGUGAAACUUACGCUAAUACCGCAUACGACCUACGGGUGAAAGCAGGGGAUCUUCGGACCUUGCGCGAUUGAAUGAGCCGAUGUCGGAUUAGCUAGUUGGCGGGGUAAAGGCCCACCAAGGCGACGAUCCGUAGCUGGUCUGAGAGGAUGAUCAGCCACACUGGAACUGAGACACGGUCCAGACUCCUGCGGGAGGCAGCAGUGGGGAAUAUUGGACAAUGGGCGCAAGCCUGAUCCAGCCAUACCGCGUGGGUGAAGAAGGCCUUCGGGUUGUAAAGCCCUUUUGUUGGGAAAGAAAAGCAGCAGGUUAAUACCCCGCUGUUCUGACGGUACCCAAAGAAUAAGCACCGGCUAACUUCGUG